RNAcentral lists this long non-coding RNA (306 nucleotides) under Equus asinus (donkey). RNAcentral describes it as "lncRNA (ENSEASG00005029363.1)". Lineage: Eukaryota; Metazoa; Chordata; Mammalia; Perissodactyla; Equidae. The record is from RNAcentral.
GGACCAAACAGCCCUGACGCGGGGCCUCGGCUAGGUCGUCCUGUCCCGGCAUCUGUGUGAAUUAAUGAAGACACCUCUUCUUUAUGCAGAAGCUGCCUGCCAAGAGCUCCAACUUGGAAAGGUGAGCAGAAGGAAGGACUUUCAGCUUCACUUGCCUCUGGAUCCAGGCUGAACGCCAUGGUUUGCCCCAUAGAGUAGCCGUGGGCAGCAAACUUGGAUUCAUACAGCUGUCCGAGAAAGUUCCUGAUGAAGAAGUGAAUUUAGAUCCACCCUUGAAAAAGAGGAAGGCACAAGGAAGAAAAGUGC